This 432-nucleotide ribosomal RNA is filed under the name uncultured bacterium. Its description in RNAcentral is "partial 16S ribosomal RNA". It matches the Rfam family "Bacterial small subunit ribosomal RNA", at positions 29 to 507 of the family's 1533-position model. The record is from RNAcentral.
ACGAACGCUGGCGGCAGGCCUAACACAUGCAAGUCGCGCGCGCCCUUCGGGGUGAGCGGCGGACGGGUGAGUAACGCGUGGGAACGUGCCCUUUUCUACGGAAUAGCCUCGGGAAACUGAGAGUAAUACCGUAUACGCCCUUUGGGGGAAAGAUUUAUCGGAAAAGGAUCGGCCCGCGUUGGAUUAGGUAGUUGGUGGGGUAAUGGCCUACCAAGCCGACGAUCCAUAGCUGGUUUGAGAGGAUGAUCAGCCACACUGGGACUGAGACACGGCCCAGACUCCUACGGGAGGCAGCAGUGGGGAAUCUUAGACAAUGGGGGCAACCCUGAUCGAGCCAUGCCGCGUGAGUGAUGAAGGCCUUAGGGUUGUAAAGCUCUUUCAGCUGGGAAGAUAAUGACGGUACCAGCAGAAGAAGCCCCGGCUAACUCCGUG